Molecule: long non-coding RNA, 948 nt
Organism: Rosa rugosa (rugosa rose)
Lineage: Eukaryota; Viridiplantae; Streptophyta; Magnoliopsida; Rosales; Rosaceae
Exons: 3
Source: RefSeq, a predicted model, not a curated record
GUAGUAAUCACCUUUUCGUUCUUUUAGUUUUCUACUUCAUUUCUUAUCAUAUCUAUAUGCUCAAUUUUGAAUGUAUGUGACCUCUUUCUCAAGGUUAUGGCAUUGAUGAUAAAUGUGACAUAUCUAUCAUUGAUGGCCAUUGUUAAUUACCUGCUUGGUUGGUUUGCAUUACGGUCACAUCAUUAACCAUUUUAAGGUCAUCAGAAUAGAGUUCUGCACUAGACUAUGUCAUCCACGUCUGUCGUAGUCUAGGCCUCGCCUUGGACUUAUUUGGUAAGGGACUUGUUCAUAAUUUUCUUGUAUAUAGUAGCAACCGUCAAAGUCGCUGUGUUGUGUUUGUUUCUAAACUAUCUACUUCCAUGUUUUCAGAUAUGCAUAUAAACAAGGCUCUCUACACAUUCAGUGGAACAUGUGUAUGGCAGCUGGUUCUGCCGACAUUAUCUUUGCUGGAAUUUACAUAAUGGUUGAUGUUUGUGGCUACCGGCAUCCAACUAUUGUGUUGGAGUGGAUGGGGAAGCAUGCACUGGCAAUUUUUGUUCUGUAGCUUGCAAUCUCUUGCCGGUUAUUCUCCAUGGAUUCUAUUGGGGCAAACCUCAUAAUAACAUUCUCACCUGAAUUGGAAUUGGAAAAUGAACUGAUGGAGGCUAGUUGCUUGAGUUAUACAAGUUUGAGUUCGACUAAUUUUGUUGCAUUUGGAGACGAAGAGAGACAAUUUGGAGUUUGGUCUUUUUGUAGAGGCGGCAUCACAUUCUCUCCCUCUUACUCUCUUCCAUGUAUUCAUAGUGCUCCUUUUUGGCAAUAUUGUCUAAUACAUUUCAGUACAAUUAUGUGGAUUAUAACAAUAUUAGAUAUAUAUUGGUAAUUACUGUUCAUUUGGUGAUUUUUGAUUUCAUUUUCUGCUGUACGUACACAAUGUUCACAACAGCCAUACAAUAAAAACUGUUGUGU